RNAcentral lists this ribosomal RNA (301 nucleotides) under uncultured bacterium. Its description in RNAcentral is "partial 16S ribosomal RNA". It matches the Rfam family "Bacterial small subunit ribosomal RNA", at positions 509 to 809 of the family's 1533-position model. The record is from RNAcentral.
CAGUCGCCGCGGGAACACGAAGGGUGCAAGCGUUAAUCGGAAUCACUGGGCGUAAAGCGUGCGUAGGCGGUUUGUUAAGUCUGCUGUGAAAUCCCCGGGCUCAACCUGGGAAUGGCAGUGGAUACUGGCAAGCUAGAGUGUGUCAGAGGAUGGUGGAAUUCCCGGUGUAGCGGUGAAAUGCGUAGAGAUCGGGAGGAACAUCAGUGGCGAAGGCGGCCAUCUGGGACAACACUGACGCUGAGGCACGAAAGCGUGGGGAGCAAACAGGAUUAGAUACCCCCGUAGUCCCUGUCUCUUAUAU